This 151-nucleotide non-coding RNA is filed under the name unclassified sequences. RNAcentral describes it as "IS605-orfB-II RNA". It matches the Rfam family "IS605-orfB-II RNA". The record is from Rfam by way of RNAcentral.
CAUGAUUAGCGAAAGCUAGGAUUGUAUAGAGAGUAGUCGCAGUCGCUCCAACUCCGAUUUGUGGAUAUAAUCUUUGAUUUUAUUUACGAGUAAGGUGAGAAACAACUAUAAAGUUGGGAACUUUAAUUUUAUUAAGAAAUUAAGGAACUGU